Molecule: ribosomal RNA, 322 nt
Filed under: uncultured eukaryote
Lineage: Eukaryota
Description: partial 18S ribosomal RNA
Rfam family: Eukaryotic small subunit ribosomal RNA
Source: RNAcentral
CCCUUAGAUGUUCUGGGCCGCACGCGUGCUACACUGAACGGUUCAAUGGGUGAGGUAGUGCGAAAGCAUGACCCAAUCUCAAAAUCCGUUCGUGCUGGGGAUAGAAGCUUGCAAUUCUCCUUCUUGAACGAGGAAUACCUUGUAAGCGUGAGUCAUCAUCUCGCGCUGAAUACGUCCCUGCCCUUUGUACACACCGCCCGUCGCUCCUACCGAUUGAGUGGUCCGGUGAGGCUUCGGGAGAGCUAAAUGGAUUGUGUUUCACAAACUAUUUGGCUUGAACUUAGUCAAACCUUACUACUUAGAGGAAGGAGAAGUCGUAACA